UACAGAGGGUGCGAGCGUUAAUCGGAAUUACUGGGCGUAAAGGGUGCGUAGGUGGUUUUGUAAGUUAGAUGUGAAAUUCCUGGGCUUAACCUGGGGACUGCGUCUGAUACUGCGAAGCUAGAGUACUGUAGAGGGAAGUGGAAUUUCCGGUGUAGCAGUGAAAUGCGUAGAUAUCGGAAGGAACAUCAGUGGCGAAGGCGACUUCCUGGACAGAUACUGACACUGAGGCACGAAAGCGUGGGGAGCAAACAG
This 252-nucleotide ribosomal RNA is filed under the name uncultured bacterium. RNAcentral's name for it is "partial 16S ribosomal RNA". It matches the Rfam family "Bacterial small subunit ribosomal RNA", at positions 524 to 775 of the family's 1533-position model. The record is from RNAcentral.